UCACUAUGAUAGCACUAAGCUACUAAAGUAGUUUACUCCUAAGAUACAUGACAUUUAAGUGAAGGAAUAGGGGGGUAUUUAUAGUGGGAGAUGGAGUAGGGGCUACUCCAGUGCCAUGUCAGCGAUCCGCGUCAUCUUCAUCAUGCACCAUUGGAUCAAACCGACUUCACAACCGCCAUCUGAUCAACGGUAGAGGCAAACUAACAUGUGCAACAUGUGGGCAAGGUCGGUGGGAGGCCAACCGACCCUGGAACUGCCAUGAAGUGGGGUCGGCCGACCCCCUAUCUGGCUGGUUGGGCCCACCUGCAGUGUCCUGGAGGCUCUCUGAUGUCGGUGGAGUUGAGCUGACCUGUGGGACCCACCAAAGUGGGGUCGCCCGACCCCAAUUCUAUGGGGUUAGGGUGUCAGCCCUGUCCUACAUGUCUUCCUCUUCAUGACUAUAAUGUUGUCUUGGUUACUGGUGUCACUAAUCUUUAGUUAUUCACCCCUUCUUAGUGUUUGGACCCUUGAAAAGUACCUGUUCUUACUCCUGCAACCAAAUAGUAGCAUGUACAUGUGGAACUAGGUUAUAUGUACCUAUAUUACUACUUUGUUUGGUUGUUUUCUCCCAAAAUGAGUCUUAUGUUGACGGUUAUGAUAGUAGAAAACAUGGUAUAAAUACCGUCAACAAGACCCCCCACACUUGAGUCUUUGCUCGUCCUCGAGUAAAGGUUAAAAAUGAGUGAUCAAUGGUUUCUAACUUAAGAUAGUAGUGAGCAUAAAAUGCUAGUUCGAACAUAGUUCAUCCAAAUGGGUUUUUGUGUAAGUGUCUAGCAUAUAUCCUUCAGAGGUUGAGAAAAGGAACAACUCUCAGAACAAGAUCAAAUUCCAAUUUCAUAUUCUUGGUACUUAGAGUUUUUAUGACACUUUUUAAAGUAAGUCACAUAGUUCAAUCCUACUCCUCAUUUAGCGCUCUAGAUCACUCAAAGUUUUUUAGUAGUCCUCACCAAGGCAUGAAUGCCAACUUGUUUCAUCCUAUAAUUAUAGGCUUAUAUGGGGCUUGGUAGGGAUAAACAAGGUAGCAUACUCUACUUUGCAAAUAUUGUUAAGUCAAAAACAAGGAUCCAAAGAGAGGAGUGUCAUAGUCAUAGAUCAAGAUGUGCAAGUGUGUUAUAUGGUGGACUAGGUUGCUCCUUUAUUUACUACACUCUCUCUACUUGUAUAUUGAGACAUGGCUAGAUUUUCUUUUUCUUCGAGCUUUAUGUGCUCAAAUUUUUUUUUUUCAUGGACUUGCACAUGUCCAUCUUUUCUUUUUCUUUUAUUUUGCCAAGCCCUUUUAUGUCUCAUUUUCUAAACAAUAUUUAGAGAGGUGUUCUAACACUUAGAGUAUGGAGCAACCUAUUUAGUGGAUGCACAAUACAUGUGGUUGCGUACUUCCAGUGUAGAAGCAGCAUAUAUAUAUGUGGUGUGUACGUGAUCUUGAUCUUGUGACUAUGAUACAACUCUCACUAGGGUCAACAAGGUUUUGACAAAACUCAUUACAAAAGCAGGUUGCAUUUCAUAAAAUGGUUACUUGAAUAUCUAAGUGUAUGGCUUUUAGUGGGAAUUUCUUGCUAAUGAGGAGUAAAUGAUACUAUGGUUUUGUGAUAUUUUUGAAACAAAUCUCUAAGUACCUUGAAUAGAAAUGUUAUGAAUUCUUAGCCAAGAGUUAUAUCACUUUCAUCAACAACUUAGUCAAUAUGGUUCCUAUAGAUUUUUACCCAUGAGGAUGAACAAUUGUAAGAACUAUACUUUAUGUCACUAUUUCUCUUAAAUCAUGUACCAGUUCAUGUUUUAUUUUGCAAACAAGUUUAAACUAUCAAAUUUUAUUUUAAUUGUGACACAAAGGUAAAGAAUUGGACAGACUGAGAGGGGGAAGAAUUAGCAAACCGGGCAGGAAAGAUGUCUUUCGUCGUAUAGAAGCUGCUUGGUGGGCCCAGGGCUCCAUGGAAGGGUCGGCCGACCCCACCUGGAGGUUCCUGGCCCUGCCACUCGAUUCUACGUCCCUCGGGAAGUCUUUCUGCACUUGUGUCGUUUCCUUUUGCCAUAGAAAGGGGGUCGGGCGACCCCCUCAUCGCGCCUGUUUUUGGUGCCAUGACGUGCCGAGGUGUAUGCAGUGUUGUUCCAUGCUCACGGCAGUUCAGAGAUGAAGUUGGGGGGUCGGGCGACCCCCCCACACUUGCAGUUUUCGUGUAGCUGAACUUACAACAGAGAGAGAUGAUCAAAUGCAGACGUCCUGCUGGUGGCAACACACCAGCAGGACCAAAAACAACUCUAUUAAAUCAAAUUUCAAUUGUAUAGGCACUUUUACAUUGUGAAAUUCAAAGUGACAAAUUGGAAAAUAAAAUUGAGUAAUCAAACCUAAAUAAUCAAAUAGUGCCUAUAACCUAAACUAACUAA
This 2418-nucleotide long non-coding RNA is filed under the name Sorghum bicolor (sorghum). Its description in RNAcentral is "long non-coding RNA (SBIC_LNC004876)". Lineage: Eukaryota; Viridiplantae; Streptophyta; Magnoliopsida; Poales; Poaceae. The record is from RNAcentral.